RNAcentral lists this ribosomal RNA (463 nucleotides) under uncultured bacterium. Its description in RNAcentral is "bacterial SSU rRNA". It matches the Rfam family "Bacterial small subunit ribosomal RNA", at positions 30 to 503 of the family's 1533-position model. The record is from RNAcentral.
UGAACGCUGGCGGCGUGCUUAACACAUGCAAGUCGAACGAGAACGGAAUAUAGCUUGCUAUAUUUGUCAGCUAAGUGGCGCACGGGUGAGUAAUGUAUAGAUAACCUGCCCUUAAGAAAGGAAUAACAGUUGGAAACGACUGCUAAUGCCCUAUAUGCCUUUAAUACAUAAGUAUGCAAGGGAAACGCUUUAGUGCUUAAGGAUGGGUCUGUAUGGUAUCAGCUUGUUGGUGAGGUAAUGGCUCACCAAGGCUAUGACGCCUAACUGGUUUGAGAGGAUGAUCAGUCACACUGGAACUGAGACACGGUCCAGACUCCUACGGGAGGCAGCAGUGGGGAAUAUUGCACAAUGGACGAAAGUCUGAUGCAGCAACGCCGCGUGGAGGAUGACACAUUUCGGUGCGUAAACUCCUUUUAUAUAGGAAGAUAAUGACGGUACUAUAUGAAUAAGCACCGGCUAACUC